AGAUUAAGUUAUUAAGGGCGCACGGUGGAUGCCUUGGCACUAGAAGCCGAUGAAGGACGUUACUAACGACGAUAUGCUUUGGGUAGCUGUAAGUAAGCGUUGAUCCAGAGAUUUCCGAAUGGGGGAACCCAACAUGAGUUAUGUCAUGUUAUCGACAUGUGAAUUCAUAGCAUGCCAGAAGGCAGACCCGGAGAACUGAAACAUCUUAGUACCCGGAGGAAGAGAAAGAAAAAUCGAUUCCCUGAGUAGCGGCGAGCGAAACGGGAAUAGCCCAAACCAACAAGCUUGCUUGUUGGGGUUGUAGGACACUCUAUACGGAGUUACAAAAGAACAUGUUAGACGAAUCAUCUGGAAAGAUGAAUCAAAGAAGGUAAUAAUCCUGUAGUCGAAAACAUAUUCUCUCUUGAGUGGAUCCUGAGUACGACGGAGCACGUGAAAUUCCGUCGGAAUCUGGGAGGACCAUCUCCUAAGGCUAAAUACUCUCUAGUGACCGAUAGUGAACCAGUACCGUGAGGGAAAGGUGAAAAGUACCCCGGAAGGGGAGUGAAAGAGAACUUGAAACCGUGUGCUUACAAGUAGUCAGAGCCCGUUAAUGGGUGAUGGCGUGCCUUUUGUAGAAUGAACCGGCGAGUUACGAUCUGAUGCAAGGUUAAGCAGCAAAUGUGGAGCCGCAGCGAAAGCGAGUCUGAAUAGGGCGUUGAGUAUUUGGUCGUAGACCCGAAACCAGGUGAUCUACCCUUGGUCAGGUUGAAGUUCAGGUAACACUGAAUGGAGGACCGAACCGACUUACGUUGAAAAGUGAGCGGAUGAACUGAGGGUAGCGGAGAAAUUCCAAUCGAACUUGGAGAUAGCUGGUUCUCUCCGAAAUAGCUUUAGGGCUAGCCUCAAGUGAUGAUUAUUGGAGGUAGAGCACUGUUUGGACGAGGGGCCCCUCUCGGGUUACCGAAUUCAGACAAACUCCGAAUGCCAAUUAAUUUAACUUGGGAGUCAGAACAUGGGUGAUAAGGUCCGUGUUCGAAAGGGAAACAGCCCAGACCACCAGCUAAGGUCCCAAAAUAUAUGUUAAGUGGAAAAGGAUGUGGCGUUGCCCAGACAACUAGGAUGUUGGCUUAGAAGCAGCCAUCAUUUAAAGAGUGCGUAAUAGCUCACUAGUCGAGUGACACUGCGCCGAAAAUGUACCGGGGCUAAACAUAUUACCGAAGCUGUGGAUUGUCCUUUGGACAAUGGUAGGAGAGCGUUCUAAGGGCGUCGAAGCAUGAUCGCAAGGACAUGUGGAGCGCUUAGAAGUGAGAAUGCCGGUGUGAGUAGCGAAAGACGGGUGAGAAUCCCGUCCACCGAUUGACUAAGGUUUCCAGAGGAAGGCUCGUCCGCUCUGGGUUAGUCGGGUCCUAAGCUGAGGCCGACAGGCGUAGGCGAUGGAUAACAGGUUGAUAUUCCUGUACCACCUAGUAUCGUUUUAAUCGAUGGGGGGACGCAGUAGGAUAGGCGAAGCGUGCUGUUGGAGUGCACGUCCAAGCAGUAAGGCUGAGUGUUAGGCAAAUCCGGCACUCAUAAGGCUGAGCUGUGAUGGGGAGAGGAAAUUGUUUCCUCGAGUCGUUGAUUUCACACUGCCGAGAAAAGCCUCUAGAUAGAUAACAGGUGCCCGUACCGCAAACCGACACAGGUAGUCAAGAUGAGAAUUCUAAGGUGAGCGAGCGAACUCUCGUUAAGGAACUCGGCAAAAUGACCCCGUAACUUCGGGAGAAGGGGUGCUCUUUAGGGUUCACGCCCAGAAGAGCCGCAGUGAAUAGGCCCAAGCGACUGUUUAUCAAAAACACAGGUCUCUGCUAAACCGUAAGGUGAUGUAUAGGGGCUGACGCCUGCCCGGUGCUGGAAGGUUAAGAGGAGUGGUUAGCUUCUGCGAAGCUACGAAUCGAAGCCCCAGUAAACGGCGGCCGUAACUAUAACGGUCCUAAGGUAGCGAAAUUCCUUGUCGGGUAAGUUCCGACCCGCACGAAAGGCGUAACGAUUUGGGCACUGUCUCAACGAGAGACUCGGUGAAAUCAUAGUACCUGUGAAGAUGCAGGUUACCCGCGACAGGACGGAAAGACCCCGUGGAGCUUUACUGUAGCCUGAUAUUGAAAUUCGGCACAGCUUGUACAGGAUAGGUAGGAGCCUUUGAAACGUGAGCGCUAGCUUACGUGGAGGCGUUGGUGGGAUACUACCCUAGCUGUGUUGGCUUUCUAACCCGCACCACUUAUCGUGGUGGGAGACAGUGUCAGGCGGGCAGUUUGACUGGGGCGGUCGCCUCCUAAAAGGUAACGGAGGCGCUCAAAGGUUCCCUCAGAAUGGUUGGAAAUCAUUCAUAGAGUGUAAAGGCAUAAGGGAGCUUGACUGCGAGACCUACAAGUCGAGCAGGGUCGAAAGACGGACUUAGUGAUCCGGUGGUUCCGCAUGGAAGGGCCAUCGCUCAACGGAUAAAAGCUACCCCGGGGAUAACAGGCUUAUCUCCCCCAAGAGUUCACAUCGACGGGGAGGUUUGGCACCUCGAUGUCGGCUCAUCGCAUCCUGGGGCUGUAGUCGGUCCCAAGGGUUGGGCUGUUCGCCCAUUAAAGCGGUACGCGAGCUGGGUUCAGAACGUCGUGAGACAGUUCGGUCCCUAUCCGUCGUGGGCGUAGGAAAUUUGAGAGGAGCUGUCCUUAGUACGAGAGGACCGGGAUGGACAUACCUCUGGUGUACCAGUUGUCGUGCCAACGGCAUAGCUGGGUAGCUAUGUAUGGACGGGAUAAGUGCUGAAAGCAUCUAAGCAUGAAGCCCCCCUCAAGAUGAGAUUUCCCAACUUCGGUUAUAAGAUCCCUCGAAGAUGACGAGGUUAAUAGGUUCGAGGUGGAAGCGUGGUGACACGUGGAGCUGACGAAUACUAAUCGAUCGAAGACUUAAUCAAUUUUUAAA
Molecule: ribosomal RNA, 2931 nt
Filed under: Staphylococcus epidermidis
Lineage: Bacteria; Bacillati; Bacillota; Bacilli; Caryophanales; Staphylococcaceae
Description: 23S ribosomal RNA
Rfam family: Bacterial large subunit ribosomal RNA
Source: RNAcentral